This 253-nucleotide ribosomal RNA is filed under the name uncultured bacterium. Its description in RNAcentral is "partial 16S ribosomal RNA". It matches the Rfam family "Bacterial small subunit ribosomal RNA", at positions 524 to 776 of the family's 1533-position model. The record is from RNAcentral.
UACGUAGGGUGCGAGCGUUAAUCGGAAUUACUGGGCGUAAAGGGCGCGUAGGCGGCUUGAUAAGGUUGCGGUGAAAGCCCGGGGCUCAACCCCGGGUCGGCCGUGGCAACUGUCGAGCUGGAGCACUGUAGAGGCAGGUGGAAUUCCGGGUGUAGCGGUGGAAUGCGUAGAGAUCCGGAAGAACACCGGUGGCGAAGGCGGCCUGCUGGGCAGUGGCUGACGCUGAGGCGCGACAGCGUGGGGAGCAAACGGG